Molecule: long non-coding RNA, 1751 nt
Organism: Alligator mississippiensis (American alligator)
Lineage: Eukaryota; Metazoa; Chordata; Crocodylia; Alligatoridae
Exons: 3
Source: RefSeq, a predicted model, not a curated record
UACUGUCAAGUGCUGGCACCAGUAAGAUCCAUCAAGCAUGGCAGCAGGAAAAUUCUGCAGCAUGGAAAUAAUUAUUGUACCAUCUUGGACUGAACUGAAGUUUCAUCUACUUCCUGAGAUGACCACGUUAGCCAUGAACUUUAACAAGAACAGAAACAUGGACAUCUGAUCAUACCAAUAACACUGCUAAGUCCUCACUCAUUCUGGGUCAGCUUCCAUUCCCAGGAGUCAUCCUCUCCUGCUCCUGAUGAUUUUUCUGAUUUGACUUCCCUCUAUGCCCAUACCUCUCCCAUGGUUCUGUUCCUGUCUUCCUCCCAGGCUUCUCAUCCAUCUCCAUUCCUUCCCUCCUUCCCAGAUAUUUCUACCCUCUUUUCUCAGACCUUCUCAGUCCCCACCCCACCCUGCUCUUUGUCAGGUCUAUUGCCCAUCACCUCACUUCCUAAUUCCAUUCACACAUACUGGCUCCCAGACCCAUUCUCAUUGUCCAGUCUCCCCUACCUCCUCAUCCAUUUUCAGGGCUCCCCAACCCUACCAAGUGAUUGCAAGUCCUCUCUUCUGCUUUUCUCCCCCACAACCAGUUCCAGAAUUCCCCGGUCCCUAAGUUCGGACAAUCUUAGCCUCCUCUCCCCCACCACCUCUUAGGUCCCACCAUCGCACUCAUCCAGUCCCUACCACUUUUUUCCCCCACAAUGCUGACACCCAAGCUCUUCUCCAGACUACCCUGCCUGAUUUCUGCCAAGUCACAGACAAUCCAAACCCUAUCUCCUACAACUCCAGUCUCAGUUGGCAUCUUGUCCUAGCCUCCUUCUUCCCUUCCCCCAGCCUUUAGUCUGCUUUUGUCAUUUCUGCAUUGAAGUCAGGUAGUUUCUUCCUCCACCCUGCCUGGAAACAACAGGGGAGACACCCAGACUUCAAGAGAGAGACUCUUUACCAUCCAUUUAAGAUCCUCGUCCCAGAUUCAACAUGGCCAGAGCUGCAGCUGCAAGAACAAGCACAAUUUCAAGUCAAGUCAGACUCCAGACACAUCUAGCUAACUACUGUGCACCUCUCAGCUUUCCCCCUCAAGCCUCACUCCAAACUCAUGCCAAUGGCUACCACCAACCAACCAGCUCUAAGAUGGUACCUGGUCAUUUAGGCUGAGGACUCCAGAGCAGCCAGACUUAAUAGUAGCCAGACUAAUAACUCCCUUGUGUGCUGUUGUCUAUAGGAAUUGCUUGUCUAAUGUGUUCAUAGGAUUGAAUGGACCCUUGACUUUCUUGAUAGCCAGGAUAUCCUUAUGCCACAGCAAUCCAUGGCUGUAAAAAUAUAGGUUGGAACAAGCUAACUUAAAUGGAGACAUGAGGCCAAACCCAGAACUGGAAGAACAUGAAGAUGGAUAAAGCCACCAUUUGUCCAUUGACCUAGGUCCUGUGGAAAAACUCAGCCAUACCAAAGAGCCUGCCUCCAGCUACUCAUUUCUCAUUCAGUGAAAUCUCAUUUGCAGACAUUUUCCAAGAUCCAGCAUGCAUUUUGUAAUAUUGGUCCAUCUCAUUUGAAAUAUAACCCCUAGUAGGUACUAAUUAUCUUACCACAAGCUACAUAGUUCUGAAGCAGAAAGAGUUCUUAAUGGGCCAUCUAAAUCAGACACAGGCUGACAGCAUCAGGUUUGGUACAGAUAAUGAGGCAGAUGUAAAGCAGUGCUGCAUUUGGCAAACACUGCAUUUAAUGUUAUUGUAGCUGUCUUGUGACUUAAAGAUGCGUUUUAUAUUGGA